Molecule: ribosomal RNA, 468 nt
Filed under: uncultured bacterium
Lineage: Bacteria
Description: partial 16S ribosomal RNA
Rfam family: Bacterial small subunit ribosomal RNA
Source: RNAcentral
GACGAACGCUGGCGGCGUGCUUAACACAUGCCAGUCGAACGGAAAGGCCCUGCUUUUGUGGGGUGCUCGAGUGGCGAACGGGUGAGUAACACGUGAGUAACCUGCCCUUGACUUUGGGAUAACUUCAGGAAACUGGGGCUAAUACCGGAUAGGAGCUCCUGCUGCAUGGUGGGGGUUGGAAAGUUUCGGCGGUUGGGGAUGGACUCGCGGCUUAUCAGCUUGUUGGUGGGGUAGUGGCUUACCAAGGCUUUGACGGGUAGCCGGCCUGAGAGGGUGACCGGCCACAUUGGGACUGAGAUACGGCCCAGACUCCUACGGGAGGCAGGAGGGGGGAAUAUUGCACAAUGGGCGGAAGCCUGAUGGAGCCACGCCGCGUGGGGGAUGACGGCCUUCGGGUUGGAAACCGCUUUCGCCUGUGACGAAGCGUGAGUGACGGUAAUGGGUAAAGAAGCACCGGCUAACUACGUG